Molecule: non-coding RNA, 71 nt
Organism: Sphaerobolus stellatus SS14
Lineage: Eukaryota; Fungi; Basidiomycota; Agaricomycetes; Geastrales; Sphaerobolaceae
Source: the annotation of a GenBank genome assembly
ACUGGGGUGGGAUAGUGGCAACCUGUAUACUUCCCAAGCAUGUGCGCCGGGUUCGAUUCCCGAUUCUAGCU